UACGAAGGGGGCUAGCGUUGCUCGGAAUGACUGGGCGUAAAGGGCGCGUAGGCGGAUGGCUUUGUCGGGCGUGAAAUUCCAGGGCUUAACCUUGGGGCUGCGUUCGAGACGGGUUGUCUUGAGUGGGGAAGAGGGUCGUGGAAUUCCCAGUGUAGAGGUGAAAUUCGUAGAUAUUGGGAAGAACACCGGUGGCGAAGGCGGCCACCUGGACGGUAACUGACGCUGAGACGCGAAAGCGUGGGGAGCAAACAGG
RNAcentral lists this ribosomal RNA (253 nucleotides) under uncultured bacterium. RNAcentral's name for it is "partial 16S ribosomal RNA". It matches the Rfam family "Bacterial small subunit ribosomal RNA", at positions 524 to 776 of the family's 1533-position model. The record is from RNAcentral.